Molecule: ribosomal RNA, 253 nt
Filed under: uncultured prokaryote
Description: partial 16S ribosomal RNA
Rfam family: Bacterial small subunit ribosomal RNA
Source: RNAcentral
UACGGAGGGUGCAAGCGUUGUUCGGAAUUAUUGGGCGUAAAGGGCAGGUAGGUGGUCUUGUAAGUCUGCUGUGAAAUCCCCGAGCUUAACUCGGGAAGUGCGGCGGAUACUGCAAGACUAGAGUGCCGGAGGGGUGCGUGGAAUUCCCGGUGUAGCGGUGAAAUGCGUAGAUAUCGGGAGGAACAUCAGAGGCGAAGGCGGCGCACUAGACGGCAACUGACACUCAACUGCGAAAGCGUGGGGAGCAAACAGG